GAUGAAUGCUGGCGGCAUGCCUAACACAUGCAAGUCGAGCGGCAGCGAGGGGUGCUUGCACCCUGUCGGCGAGCGGCGAACGGCUGAGUAACGCGUAGGAAUUUGCCCCAAAGUGAGGAAUAACUGCCCGAAAGGGUAGCUAAUGCCGCAUAUGGUCUUCGGAUUAAAGGAUUUAUCCGCUUUGGGAGAAGCCUGCGUUGGAUUAGGUUGUUGGUAGGGUAAUGGCCUACCAAGCCGACGAUCCAUAGCUGGUCUGAGAGGAUGAUCAGCCAGACUGGAACUGAGACACGGUCCAGACUCCUACGGGAGGCAGCAGUGAGGAAUCUUCCACAAUGGGCGAAAGCCUGAUGGAGCAACGCCGCGUGAAGGAUGAAGGCCUUCGGGUUGUAAACUUCUUUUAUGAGUGAAGAAUAUGACGGUAACUCAUGAAUAAGCACCGGCUAACUACGUG
Molecule: ribosomal RNA, 451 nt
Filed under: uncultured bacterium
Lineage: Bacteria
Description: partial 16S ribosomal RNA
Rfam family: Bacterial small subunit ribosomal RNA
Source: RNAcentral